This is an RNA transcript of Pan troglodytes (chimpanzee), 2827 nucleotides long. It is a transcript of the gene named ADAM metallopeptidase domain 32, with no coding region annotated. The transcript is spliced from 26 exons. The record is from RefSeq and is a predicted model, not a curated record. Lineage: Eukaryota; Metazoa; Chordata; Mammalia; Primates; Hominidae.
AGAGGGCGCUGGGUGGUCAGUGGCUCCAGCAACCACGCGGCUGGGGUGCGCCGGGAAGGGAGCUGGAUGUUUUAGCCUCGGGGCGCACGCUGCGGGCCCUUCGUGUUCCGGACGCUAAACACCGAGAGCACCCCGUCUCCGGGGCCUCCGGAGAACGCUGUCCCAUGAACGUGCGGGGAGCGGCCCCCGGUGUCCGCGCGUCCGCGCGUCCCCGCGUCCCUGGCAAUUCCCGACUUCCCAACGGCUUCCCGCCGGCAGCCCCGAAGCCGCACCAUGUUCCGCCUCUGGUUGCUGCUGGCCGGGCUCUGCGGCCUCCUGGCGUCAAGACCCGGUUUUCAAAAUUCACUUCUACAGAUCGUAAUUCCAGAGAAAAUCCAAACAAAUACAAAUGACAGUUCAGAAAUAGAAUAUGAACAAAUAUCCUAUAUUAUUCCAAUAGAUGAGAAACUGUACACUGUGCACCUUAAACAAAGAUAUUUUUUAGCAGAUAAUUUUAUGAUCUAUUUGUACAAUCAAGGAUCCAUGAAUACUUAUUCUUCAGAUAUUCAGACUCAAUGCUACUAUCAAGGAAAUAUUGAAGGAUAUCCAGAUUCCAUGGUCACACUCAGCACGUGCUCUGGACUAAGAGGAAUACUGCAAUUUGAAAAUGUUUCUUAUGGAAUUGAGCCUCUGGAAUCUGCAGUUGAAUUUCAGCAUGUUCUUUACAAAUUAAAGAAUGAAGACAAUGAUAUUGCAAUUUUUAUUGACAGAAGCCUGAAAGAACAACCAAUGGAUGACAACAUUUUUAUAAGUGAAAAAUCAGAACCAGCUGUUCCAGAUUUAUUUCCUCUUUAUCUAGAAAUGCAUAUUGUGGUGGACAAAACUUUGUUUGAUUACUGGGGCUCUGAUAGCAUGAUAGUAACAAAUAAAGUCAUCGAAAUUGUUGGCCUUGCAAAUUCAAUGUUCACCCAAUUUAAAGUUACUAUUGUGCUGUCAUCAUUGGAGUUAUGGUCAGAUGAAAAUAAGAUUUCUACAGUUGGUGAGGCAGAUGAAUUAUUGCAAAAAUUUUUAGAAUGGAAACAAUCUUAUCUUAACCUAAGGCCUCAUGAUAUUGCAUAUCUACUAAUUUAUACGGAUUAUCCUCGUUAUUUGGGAGCAGUGUUUCCUGGAACAAUGUGUAUUACUCGUUAUUCUGCAGGAGUUGCAUUGUACCCCAAGGAGAUAACUCUGGAGGCAUUUGCAGUUAUUGUCACCCAGAUGCUGGCACUCAGUCUGGGAAUAUCAUAUGAUGACCCAAAGAAAUGUCAAUGUUCAGAAUCCACCUGUAUAAUGAAUCCAAAAGUUGUGCAAUCCAAUGGUGUGAAGACUUUUAGCAGUUGCAGUUUGAGGAGCUUUCAAAAUUUCAUUUCAAAUGUGGGUGUCAAAUGUCUUCAGAAUAAGCCACAAAUGCAAAAAAAAUCUCCGAAACCAGUCUGUGGCAAUGGCAGAUUGGAGGGAAAUGAAACCUGUGAUUGUGGUACUGAGGCUCAAUGUGGACCUGCAAGCUGUUGUGAUUUUCGAACUUGUGUACUGAAAGACGGAGCAAAAUGUUAUAAAGGACUGUGCUGCAAAGACUGUCAAAUUUUACAAUCAGGCGUUGAAUGUAGGCCGAAAGCACAUCCCGAAUGUGACAUCGCUGAAAAUUGUAAUGGAAGCUCACCAGAAUGUGGUCCUGACAUAACUUUAAUCAAUGGACUUUCAUGCAAAAAUAAUAAGUUUAUUUGUUAUGACGGAGACUGCCAUGAUCUCGAUGCACGUUGUGAGAGUGUAUUUGGAAAAGGUUCAAGAAAUGCUCCAUUUGCCUGCUAUGAAGAAAUACAAUCUCAAUCAGACAGAUUUGGGAACUGUGGUAGGGAUAGAAAUAACAAAUAUGUGUUCUGUGGAUGGAGGAAUCUUAUAUGUGGAAGAUUAGUUUGUACCUACCCUACUCGAAAGCCUUUCCAUCAAGAAAAUGGUGAUGUGAUUUAUGCUUUCGUACGAGAUUCUGUAUGCAUAACUGUAGACUACAAAUUGCCUCGAACAGUUCCAGAUCCACUGGCUGUCAAAAAUGGCUCUCAGUGUGAUAUUGGGAGGGUUUGUGUAAAUCGUGAAUGUGUAGAAUCAAGGAUAAUUAAGGCUUCAGCACAUGUUUGUUCACAACAGUGUUCUGGACAUGGAGUGUGUGAUUCCAGAAACAAGUGCCAUUGUUCGCCAGGCUAUAAGCCUCCAAACUGCCAAAUACGUUCCAAAGGAUUUUCCAUAUUUCCUGAGGAAGAUAUGGGUUCAAUCAUGGAAAGAGCAUCUGGGAAGACUGAAAACACCUGGCUUCUAGGUUUCCUCAUUGCUCUUCCUAUUCUCAUUGUAACAACCGCAAUAGUUUUGGCAAGGAAACAGUUGAAAAAUUGGUUCGCCAAGGAAGAGGAAUUCCCAAGUAGCGAAUCUAAAUCGGAAGGUAGCACACAGACAUAUGCCAGCCAAUCCAGCUCAGAAGGCAGCACUCAGACAUAUGCCAGCCAAACCAGAUCAGAAAGCAGCAGUCAAGCUGAUACUAGCAACUUUUCUCUAUGUAUCUAAUAGAAAGGAUAAGUUUUCCUAUUUGUCCAGUCUGCCAAACUGGUCAGAAGUAAAUAUCCAAAUCAGAAGAUAGUGCUGAAGCAUAUACUAGCAGAUCCAAAUCACAGGAAAGUACCCAAACACAAAGCAGUAGUAACUAGUGAUUCCUUCAGAAGGCAACGGAUAACAUCGGGAGUCUCGCUAAGAAAUGAAAAUUCUGUCUUUCCUUCCGUGGUCACAGCUGAAAGAAACAAUAAAUUGAGUGUGGAUCAAUUUG